AUUUAGAUAUCUUAAUUUAAAGUAUAAUAUUGAAGCUAUUAUUAUAGGUGUAAACCUUCUAAAUA
RNAcentral lists this transfer RNA (65 nucleotides) under Sastragala esakii. RNAcentral describes it as "tRNA-Phe". The record is from RNAcentral. Lineage: Eukaryota; Metazoa; Arthropoda; Insecta; Hemiptera; Acanthosomatidae.